GACGAACGCUGGCGGCGUGCUUAACACAUGCAAGUCGAACGGAAAGGCCCUGCUUUUGUGGGGUGCUCGUGUGGCGAACGGGUGAGUAACACGUGAGUAACCUGCCCUUGACUUUGGGAUAACUUCAGGAAACUGGGGCUAAUACCGGGUAGGAGCUCCUGCUGCAUGGUGGGGGUUGGAAAGUUUCGGCGGUUGGGGAUGGACUCGCGGCUUAUCAGCUUGUUGGUGGGGUAGUGGUUUACCAAGGCUUUGACGGGUAGCCGGCCUGGGAGGGUGACCGGCGACAAUAGUACUGAGAGACGGCCCAGAAUCCAACCGGACGCAGCAGUGGGGAGUAUGACACAAUGGGCGGAAGCCUGAUGCAGCAACGCCGCGUGCGGGAUGACGGCCUUCGGGGUAUAAACCGCUGUCGCCUGUGACGAAGCGUGAGUGACGGUAAUGGGUAAAGAAGCACCGGCUAACUACGUG
This 468-nucleotide ribosomal RNA is filed under the name uncultured bacterium. RNAcentral describes it as "partial 16S ribosomal RNA". It matches the Rfam family "Bacterial small subunit ribosomal RNA", at positions 28 to 507 of the family's 1533-position model. The record is from RNAcentral.